UGCUUACACAUGCAGUCGAACGAUGAAGCCCAGCUUGCUGGGUGGAUUAGUGGCGAACGGGUGAGUAACACGUGGGUGAUCUGCCCUGCACUUCGGGAUAAGCCUGGGAAACUGGGUCUAAUACCGGAUAGGACCUCGGGAUGCAUGUUCCGGGGUGGAAAGGUUUUCCGGUGCAGGAUGGGCCCGCGGCCUAUCAGCUUGUUGGUGGGGUAACGGCCCACCAAGGCGACGACGGGUAGCCGGCCUGAGAGGGCGACCGGCCACACUGGGACUGAGACACGGCCCAGACUCCUACGGGAGGCAGCAGUGGGGAAUAUUGCACAAUGGGCGCAAGCCUGAUGCAGCGACGCCGCGUGAGGGAUGACGGCCUUCGGGUUGUAAACCUCUUUCAGUACCGACGAAGCGCGAGUGACGGUAGGUACAGAAGAAGCACCGGCCAACUACGUGCCAGCAGCCGCGGUAAUACGUAGGGUGCGAGCGUUGUCCGGAAUUACUGGGCGUAAAGAGCUCGUAGGCGGUUUGUCGCGUCGUCUGUGAAAACCCGCAGCUCAACUGCGGGCUUGCAGGCGAUACGGGCAGACUUGAGUACUGCAGGGGAGACUGGAAUUCCUGGUGUAGCGGUGAAAUGCGCAGAUAUCAGGAGGAACACCGGUGGCGAAGGCGGGUCUCUGGGCAGUAACUGACGCUGAGGAGCGAAAGCGUGGGUAGCGAACAGGAUUAGAUACCCUGGUAGUCCACGCCGUAAACGGUGGGCGCUAGGGUGGGGUUUCCUUCCACGGGAUCCGUGGCCGUAGCUAACGCAUUAAGCGCCCCGCCUGGGGAGUACGGCCGCAAGGCUAAAACUCAAAGGAAUUGACGGGGGCCC
RNAcentral lists this ribosomal RNA (865 nucleotides) under Rhodococcus aetherivorans. RNAcentral describes it as "bacterial SSU rRNA". It matches the Rfam family "Bacterial small subunit ribosomal RNA", at positions 45 to 922 of the family's 1533-position model. The record is from RNAcentral. Lineage: Bacteria; Bacillati; Actinomycetota; Actinomycetes; Mycobacteriales; Nocardiaceae.